Myotis brandtii (Brandt's bat) is the source of this 74-nucleotide non-coding RNA. Lineage: Eukaryota; Metazoa; Chordata; Mammalia; Chiroptera; Vespertilionidae. The record is from Rfam.
GGUGGGUGGGAGGAGUCCCUCAGCCCAGAUUGUGAGAGGGUGCAGUCCAGGCCGAGGGACCCUGCCAGUGCAUG